Molecule: ribosomal RNA, 497 nt
Filed under: uncultured bacterium
Lineage: Bacteria
Description: partial 16S ribosomal RNA
Rfam family: Bacterial small subunit ribosomal RNA
Source: RNAcentral
GAUGAAUGCUGGCGGCGUGCCUAAUACAUGCAAGUCGAGCGAACAGACGAGGAGCUUGCUCCUCUGACGUUAGCGGCGGACGGGUGAGUAACACGUGGAUAACCUACCUAUAAGACUGGGAUAACUUCGGGAAACCGGAGCUAAUACCGGAUAAUAUAUUGAACCGCAUGGUUCAAUAGUGAAAGACGGUUUUGCUGUCACUUAUAGAUGGAUCCGCGCCGCAUUAGCUAGUUGGUAAGGUAACGGCUUACCAAGGCAACGAUGCGUAGCCGACCUGAGAGGGUGAUCGGCCACACUGGAACUGAGACACGGUCCAGACUCCUACGGGAGGCAGCAGUAGGGAAUCUUCCGCAUUGGGCGAAAGCCUGACGGAGCAACGCCGCGUGAGUGAUGAAGGUCUUCGGAUCGUAAAACUCUGUUAUUAGGGAAGAACAAAUGUGUAAGUAACUAUGCACGUCUUGACGGUACCUAAUCAGAAAGCCACGGCUAACUACGUG